Molecule: ribosomal RNA, 388 nt
Filed under: uncultured bacterium
Lineage: Bacteria
Description: bacterial SSU rRNA
Rfam family: Bacterial small subunit ribosomal RNA
Source: RNAcentral
AGUGAACGCUGGCGGCAGGCCUAAUACAUGCAAGUCGAACGGCAGCACAGCAGAGCUUGCUCUGUGGGUGGCGAGUGGCGGACGGGUGAGGAAUACGUGGGAAUCUGCCCAGUCGUGGGGGAUAACGUAGGGAAACUUACGCUAAUACCGCAUGCGCCUUCGGGGAAAGCCGGGGACCGUUCGGCCGUGGCGCGAUUGGAUGAGCCCACGUCGGAUUAGCUAGUUGGCGGGGGUAAAGGGCCCACCAAGGCGACGAUCCGUAGCUGGUCUGAGAGGAUGAACAGCCACACUGGAACUGAGACACGGUCCAGACUCCUACGGGAGGCAGCAGUAGGGAAUAUUGGACAAAUGGGCGCAAGCCUGAUCCAGCCAUGCCGCGUGAGUGAAG